UGGUGGGCCAAAUCCUUUCCAAGAAAUUGCCAGCAAAAAAACACAAUUUAAGAAACUGAAGAUGGACCGAUCUAGCUCUGGAAACAAACCAUUCAGGAUAUGAACUCGUUAACAUGUGGAGCCACACGAUUUGUCAACAUGCUGUCAGAUUGUAUGUAGCAAUUAUUGCUGUGUUAACAAGUUCUGUAAUUUUUGUUUUUGCUUUAUUUAUUGAAAGGGGGAGACUGAAUCUGCGGAGAGAUACAAGGAUGAGAGACUUUGGGAUAGAUGUGUUGUUAGAAGACCAAGCUAUAAUGGUUUGCAUGUUUAGUAA
This 313-nucleotide unclassified non-coding RNA is filed under the name Hevea brasiliensis (rubber tree). The record is from RNAcentral. Lineage: Eukaryota; Viridiplantae; Streptophyta; Magnoliopsida; Malpighiales; Euphorbiaceae.